Molecule: ribosomal RNA, 301 nt
Filed under: uncultured bacterium
Lineage: Bacteria
Description: partial 16S ribosomal RNA
Rfam family: Bacterial small subunit ribosomal RNA
Source: RNAcentral
CAGCCGCCGCGGUAACACCGAGGGUGCGAGCGUUAAUCGGAUUUACUGGGCGUAAAGCGUGCGUAGGCGGCUUUUUAAGUCGGAUGUGAAAUCCCUGAGCUUAACUUAGGAAUUGCAUUCGAUACUGGGAAGCUAGAGUAUGGGAGAGGAUGGUAGAAUUCCAGGUGUAGCGGUGAAAUGCGUAGAGAUCUGGAGGAAUACCGAUGGCGAAGGCAGCCAUCUGGCCUAAUACUGACGCUGAGGUACGAAAGCAUGGGGAGCAAACAGGAUUAGAGACCCCUGUAGUCCCUGUCUCUUAUAC